GAUGAACGCUGGCGGCGUGCCUAAUACAUGCAAGUCGAGCGAACGGACGAGAAGCUUGCUUCUCUGAUGUUAGCGGCGGACGGGUGAGUAACACGUGGAUAACCUACCUAUAAGACUGGGAUAACUUCGGGAAACCGGAGCUAACACCGGAUGAUAUUUUGAACCGCAUGGUUCAAAAGUGAAAGACGGUCUUGCUGUCACUUAUAGAUGGAUCCGCGCUGCAUUAGCUAGUUGGUGAGGUAACGGCUUACCAAGGCAACGAUGCAUAGCCGACCUGAGAGGGUGAUCGGCCACACUGGAACUGAGACACGGUCCAGACUCCUACGGGAGGCAGCAGUAGGGAAUCUUCCGCAAUGGGCGAAAGCCUGACGGAGCAACGCCGCGUGAGUGAUGAAGGUCUUCGGAUCGUAAAACUCUGUUAUUAGGGAAGAACAUAUGUGUAAGUAACUGUGCACAUCUUGACGGUACCUAAUCAGAAAGCCACGGCUAACUACGUG
Molecule: ribosomal RNA, 497 nt
Filed under: uncultured bacterium
Lineage: Bacteria
Description: partial 16S ribosomal RNA
Rfam family: Bacterial small subunit ribosomal RNA
Source: RNAcentral